UGGGGUAUAGCUCAGUUAGUAGAGUACGUGCCUCAUAUGCACAAGGCCCUGGGUUCAAUCCCUAGCACAACAC
This 73-nucleotide transfer RNA is filed under the name Ictidomys tridecemlineatus (thirteen-lined ground squirrel). RNAcentral's name for it is "Spermophilus tridecemlineatus (thirteen-lined ground squirrel) tRNA". It matches the Rfam family "tRNA". Rfam says of the family: Transfer RNA (tRNA) molecules are approximately 80 nucleotides in length. Their secondary structure includes four short double-helical elements and three loops (D, anti-codon, and T loops). The record is from Rfam by way of RNAcentral. Lineage: Eukaryota; Metazoa; Chordata; Mammalia; Rodentia; Sciuridae.